Molecule: unclassified non-coding RNA, 355 nt
Filed under: soil metagenome
Description: partial contains 5.8S ribosomal RNA, internal transcribed spacer 2, and large subunit ribosomal RNA
Rfam family: 5.8S ribosomal RNA (bases 1-120)
Source: RNAcentral
GAUGAAGAACGUAGCGAAAUGCGAUAAGUAAUGCGAAUUGCAGAAUUCAGUGUAUCAUCGAAUCUUUGAACGCACAUUGCGCCCGCUAGUAUUCUGGCGGGCAUGCCUGUCUGAGCGUCAUUUCAACCCUCGCCCCCGGCUUUUGCUGGGAGCGGUGUUGGGGGUCGGCCGCCCGUCACUGGGAGGCCGGCCCCGAAAUAGAGUGGCGACCACGCCGUGUGCUCCUCUGCGUAGUAGUAAAUCACCUCGCAGGCGGACAGCGGUGCGGCCUGCCGUAAAACCCCCAACUCUUUCUGGUUGACCUCAGAUCAGGUAGGAAUACCCGCUGAACUUAAGCAUAUCAAUAAGCGGAGGA